UGGGGAAUCGUCUAAUGGUAGGACAGCGGACUUUGACUCCGUCAGUCUAGGUUCGAGUCCUAGUUCCCCAA
RNAcentral lists this transfer RNA (71 nucleotides) under Patescibacteria group bacterium. Its description in RNAcentral is "tRNA-Gln". It matches the Rfam family "tRNA". Rfam says of the family: Transfer RNA (tRNA) molecules are approximately 80 nucleotides in length. The record is from RNAcentral.